UACGAAGGGGGCUAGCGUUGCUCGGAAUGACUGGGCGUAAAGGGCGCGUAGGCGGCUCAUACAGUCAGGCGUGAAAUUCCUGGGCUCAACCUGGGGACUGCGCUUGAGACGUGUGGGCUUGAGUGGGGAAGAGGGUCGUGGAAUUCCCAGUGUAGAGGUGAAAUUCGUAGAUAUUGGGAAGAACACCGGUGGCGAAGGCGGCGACCUGGUCCUUGACUGACGCUGAGGCGCGAAAGCGUGGGUAGCAAACAGG
This 253-nucleotide ribosomal RNA is filed under the name uncultured bacterium. RNAcentral describes it as "partial 16S ribosomal RNA". It matches the Rfam family "Bacterial small subunit ribosomal RNA", at positions 524 to 776 of the family's 1533-position model. The record is from RNAcentral.